AGGACGAACGCUGGCGGCGUGCUUCAUACAUGCAAGUCGAACGAGAAGCUGACUUCGGUCAGUGGAAAGUGGCGGACGGGUGAGUAACACGUAGGAAAUCUGCCCUUUGGAGGGGGACAACAGUUGGAAACGACUGCUAAUACCCCAUAUGAGCUAAGUUGAAAUACUUAUCUUGAAAACUCCGGUGCCAAAGGAUGAGCCUGCGCCUGAUUAGCUUGUUGGUGGUGUAAUGGACUACCAAGGCGACGAUCAGUAGCUGGUUUGAGAGGAUGAUCAGCCACAAUGGGACUGAGACACGGCCCAUACUCCUACGGGAGGCAGCAGUAGGGAAUUUUGCGCAAUGGGCGAAAGCCCUGACGCAGCAACGCCGCGUGAUUGAUGAAGCCCUUCGGGGUGUAAAGAUCUGUCAGUGGGGACGAAAUUUGACGGUACCCACAAAGGAAGCACCGGCUAACUCCGUGCCAGCCGCCGC
RNAcentral lists this ribosomal RNA (472 nucleotides) under uncultured bacterium. Its description in RNAcentral is "bacterial SSU rRNA". It matches the Rfam family "Bacterial small subunit ribosomal RNA", at positions 26 to 518 of the family's 1533-position model. The record is from RNAcentral.